RNAcentral lists this ribosomal RNA (253 nucleotides) under uncultured bacterium. RNAcentral describes it as "partial 16S ribosomal RNA". It matches the Rfam family "Bacterial small subunit ribosomal RNA", at positions 524 to 776 of the family's 1533-position model. The record is from RNAcentral.
UACGGAGGGGGCUAGCGUUGUUCGGAAUUACUGGGCGUAAAGCGUGCGCAGGCGGUUUGCUAAGACAGGUGUGAAAUCCCCGGGCUCAACCUGGGAACUGCGCUUGUAACUGGCAAGCUAGAGUGUGGCAGAGGGGGGUGGAAUUCCAGGUGUAGCAGUGAAAUGCGUAGAGAUCUGGAGGAACACCGGUGGCGAAGGCAGCCCCCUGGGCUAACACUGACGCUCAUGCACGAAAGCGUGGGGAGCAAACAGG